AGUGUUUUGACGACUGCCUCACUAAAGGAAGCUAAAAGCUGUGCUGAUGCCUCCCAGACGAGCCUCGUUGGAAGCACAGAACCUUCACGGCUCGGAGCCGCUGACACCGUGACAAAGGGAGCCCUGCUCAGGAGAAAGAGCAAAUGAGAGGCAGUUGCACUUUUUCAGGUGUCAGGCUGGAGGAAGCCACUUGAAGAUGAAUCUACCUCUGCCUUAGGAUUGCCUGAUGGCCUGUGCCAUUCCAUGUUAUAUCUACUGAUUUGCUCCCUGUAUUCAAAGAUUUUUUUUUUUUACUUAAUUCUCUCUUACUGACCCUGAGAGUGACCAUAUUUUUAACCAAUUUGGUCUUCAGCCUCAAAACUUAGCUCUUUCCUUUUGUGGUCCCCGAAUCCUAUCACGUGUCAUGGUGGCUGUGAAGAUGUUUGCCAAGCCUGCUGAGAAGGCUCAUCUGUGGCAUCCAAAAGCAGAGAUUUCAACUCUGGACCCCUGUGACCUGCCUUUGUAAUUAUGGAUACCCAGCACUGUUUUGAAAUAUCAGUGGACAUCCAGUUUUUAAAAGCCCUCAGAGCUUUGGGAGACACCCCUUUAUCUCUCUGGCAUGUCAGAGAACCGAUUCAACCCUUCUCAUCUCCUCCUCCUUCCCUCUCUUGGGCCAUCAGGAUGCGGCAGCAACUCACUGUGCAUGUUUUUACAGCUCUUCUCCAGUAAUGCUGCCAUUUCCACUGCAGACCACAGGAUAAAAGGACCGCUUCACCGUGGCCCAGGAUACCCUUUUAAGUAGGAGAGGGAGAAGAAAGUACUGCUUUGAUCUAAAAUUAAGCAAACGUUCUUCAAUAAACCCACCAUGAGACUUGACCACUAAUGGUGACCAGCAGUGGCUUUGUCAUGGCCCUGCCCACUGGGGGCAGGCACAUGCCGGGGCCAGGGCAGGCUGCCAGCUGGCUCAGUUGGAUCUCCAAGUGGCGGUACCGUUCUCUCCACUUCAAAAAUACACAGAAACAUGUGGAAAUGUUCUGUCAUCCAGAAUGAAAAGCAUGUGCACCAAAUUUUCACAGACCUGAUUCGAAUGUAGAUAAAAGUGCAAAAUCCAGAGGAGGGAACACGCUAUAGAAAUCCUGUCUUCUAUACUAUAAUUUAAUCAUCGUGUGCCACAGAAUGUCUUUGCAUAAAUUACAACCACAAUAAUAGCAUCACUUUCACAAAAGGUGGCCUCUAAUCGAUUUGACUCUCCAAGAGAUGGCUGGGUUUUUCAAAGCAGAGAAAUGAUGACCUGCAGUCUUAAAGAGCUGUUGAUUGCACCUGGGGCUCCCGUGGCCGGCGCCCAUCGAGCAGCCCAUCCUGGCUGUUCCCUUGUUCAGCUGAUUUUCUUUUUUAUCUUGACAUUUGCUAACCGCUUGGUUUUUAUUUUCCGGGAAGAGAGGAUUAUUGGCAACUGGCACCACCCCCAUGUCUGGAGGAGGGACGUUUCUAGGAUGACCCCCAGAGUGGAGAAAUAGCCGAGCUCAUGAGGCAACCCACACAGGCAGGCUGGAGAGGAGUGGCAAGAAGCUCACCUUCGGACAGUAGUGAGCAGAGCAACAGAGGCCCCCAGAGACUUCGCACAACGGAAAAGAGAUCAACUCCCGCAUUUGCAGGGGACGUGAAAGUGCAAUACUGUGAGGAACAAAAGGAAGCCUCAUCUCUGGAAGCCGGGAGGAAAAACAGUCGGUGUAGACAGCAGCGGCAGGGACCAGAGCUGACCAGAAGGCUGGGUCCCAGCAACAAUUAGAGACAGGCAGCAGCUGAGGCCCCUUCUCUGAGAACCAUUUCAAUUGCACAGUGGCCACAGAAGGCUCCAUUGGCCCGGCAGCCAGCUCUGCAGAGCCAUUUGUCCACAAGGAAAAUAAUAGCCCCGGCCUCAUUGCUUUGGGCUGCAGGGAGGACAAUGACCCACCAUGAAAAGAGUUAAAAAGAUUCUGGGGAAGGGGAAAGGCAGGCCCACACGGUGGCAAUUCAAGAUCUUUUGGAUGCCGUGAGCGUGUUCUUUAAUUAAGCCCCUCUUCUUCAGCUCAUCCUGCAGAAACGCACCUGCUUCCCAUCUGCCAUCCAAAACGGCAAGCACAAGAAUGACUUCACACUGUCACUUUCAGAGUUCCGCUGUGGCCCACAGUGAUUUUUCAAGAAAGGCAGCCACAGACUCGCUCGCGCUUUCUCUUUCUCCUUUCCUCUGAAAGACUCUAUAAAAACCACAUUAAAAAGUGUGUGAGCCAAGCAAUUUCAUUUAUCAAAGGAAGAAGGUCAUCCAUAGCAUUCAUUCUAAGAAUAUCAGGCACACGGCCAGCCCUGGACACAAGGCAUGAAGACCAGAGGGCCCUUUAUUGACCUAAUCUCUAUUUUGUCGCCAAACUGCAUCUGUGUCUGAAAGCUGGGACACACAAUAUUUCCCUCUACCAAAAUAAUUUUAUUUUCUGCAGCAGCAUGUAACAAACAAUUAAUGGUGGUAACAUGGGCUUCUGUCAUUUUCUGAACAACCCA
Homo sapiens (human) is the source of this 2514-nucleotide long non-coding RNA. Ensembl annotates it as sciatic injury induced lincRNA upregulator of SOX11. Its record names the gene SILC1. The record is from Ensembl. NCBI's taxonomy places the organism in Eukaryota, Metazoa, Chordata, Mammalia, Primates, Hominidae.